UACGUAGGGGGCAAGCGUUGUCCGGAAUUAUUGGGCGUAAAGAGCGUGUAGGCGGCCCGGUAAGUCCGCUGUAAAAGUCAAAGGCUUAACCUUUGAAUGUCAGUGGAUACUGCCGGGCUAGAGUCCGGAAGAGGCGAGUGGAACUCCUGGUGUAGCGGUGGAAUGCGCAGAUAUCAGGAAGAACACCAACGGCGAAGGCAGCUCGCUAGGACGGUACUGACGCUGAGACGCGAAAGCGUGGGGAGCGAACAGG
This 253-nucleotide ribosomal RNA is filed under the name uncultured bacterium. Its description in RNAcentral is "partial 16S ribosomal RNA". It matches the Rfam family "Bacterial small subunit ribosomal RNA", at positions 524 to 776 of the family's 1533-position model. The record is from RNAcentral.